AGUGAACGCUGGCGGUAGGCCUAACACAUGCAAGUCGAACGGCAGCACAGUAAGAGCUUGCUCUUACGGGUGGCGAGUGGCGGGCGGGUGAGGAAUACAUCGGAAUCUACUUUUUCGUGGGGGAUAACGUAGGGAAACUUACGCUAAUACCGCAUACGACCUACGGGUGAAAGCAGGGGAUCUUCGGACCUUGCGCGAUUGAAUGAGCCGAUGUCGGAUUAGCUAGUUGGCGGGGUAAAGGCCCACCAAGGCGACGAUCCGUAGCUGGUCUGAGAGGAUGAUCAGCCACACUGGAACUGAGACGCGGUCCAGACUCCUACGGGAGGCAGCAGUGGGGAAUAUUGGACAAUGGGCGCAAGCCUGAUCCAGCCAUACCGCGUGGGUGAAGAAGGCCUUCGGGUUGUAAAGCCCUUUUGUUGGGAAAGAAAAGCAGCAGGUUAAUACCCCGCUGUUCUGACGGUACCCAAAGAAUAAGCACCGGCUAACUUCGUG
RNAcentral lists this ribosomal RNA (492 nucleotides) under uncultured bacterium. Its description in RNAcentral is "partial 16S ribosomal RNA". It matches the Rfam family "Bacterial small subunit ribosomal RNA", at positions 29 to 507 of the family's 1533-position model. The record is from RNAcentral.